AACGAACGCUGGCGGCAUGCCUAACACAUGCAAGUCGAACGAGACCUUCGGGUCUAGUUGCGCACGGGUGCGUAACGCGUGGGAACCUGCCCUUAGGUUCGGAAUAACUCCCCGAAAGGGGUGCUAAUACCGGAUAAUGUCUUCGGACCAAAGAUUUAUCGCCUUUGGAUGGGCCCGCGUUGGAUUAGCUAGUUGGUAGGGUAAAAGCCUACCAAGGCGACGAUCCAUAGCUGGUCUGAGAGGAUGAUCAGCCACACUGGGACUGAGACACGGCCCAGACUCCUACGGGAGGCAGCAGUGGGGAAUAUUGGACAAUGGGCGAAAGCCUGAUCCAGCAAUGCCGCGUGAGUGAUGAAGGCCUUAGGGUUGUAAAGCUCUUUUACCCGGGAUGAUAAUGACAGUACCGGGAGAAUAAGCACCGGCUAACUCCGUG
Molecule: ribosomal RNA, 433 nt
Filed under: uncultured bacterium
Lineage: Bacteria
Description: partial 16S ribosomal RNA
Rfam family: Bacterial small subunit ribosomal RNA
Source: RNAcentral